RNAcentral lists this ribosomal RNA (443 nucleotides) under uncultured bacterium. RNAcentral describes it as "partial 16S ribosomal RNA". It matches the Rfam family "Bacterial small subunit ribosomal RNA", at positions 338 to 795 of the family's 1533-position model. The record is from RNAcentral.
CCUACGGGUGGCUGCAGUGGGGAAUAUUGGGCAAUGGGCGCAAGCCUGACCCAGCAACGCCGCGUGAAGGAAGAAGGCUUUCGGGUUGUAAACUUCUUUUGUCAGGGACGAAGCAAGUGACGGUACCUGACGAAUAAGCCACGGCUAACUACGUGCCAGCAGCCGCGGUAAUACGUAGGUGGCAAGCGUUAUCCGGAUUUACUGGGUGUAAGGGGCGUGUAGGCGGGACUGCAAGUCAGAUGUGAAAACCACGGGCUCAACCUGUGGCCUGCAUUUGACACUGGAGUUCUUGAGUACUGGAGAGGCAGACGGAAUUCCUAGUGUAGCGGUGAAAUGCGUAGAUAUGACGAAGAACCCCGAUUGCGAAGGCAGCUUGCUGCAGCGGAACUGACGCUGAUGCUCGAAAGCGCGGGUAUCGAACAGGAUUAGAUACCCUUGUAGUC